CUUUAAUGGCGCUUGCAAAACGAAAAAGAGACAGUACAUGUGAUUACGAUUACAUACAUGUAUAUAACAAAAUCGUAUACGGACUGAACAGUAUUUCCGGAAACACGGAUUCAACCCCCUAUAUAUAUAUUACAUAACACUGCAUUUGAAAAUUUGAGCAAUUAUAGCUUUGUUAAGGUAGCAAGCAAACACGCACGUAUAUGUCAAGACAAAUACCAUACAUGAAUAAAGAUCUGCAAUCAGCAGUCUAAAAAAAGAUAAUGGUGUAUAACAGGUUACAAAAUGUCGACACUAAAAACGAGGAAAGCUUAUGGAGUUUUGAGGAAUUUUGUAACCUAAUUUAAAAAAAAAAAAAAACAAAAAUCUGUGAAAAUUUAAAGAUGUACAGUCGGGCCAAACUGUUUGUGGCCUACAUUUAAACCAUUUCUAUCAAAAAAGGGGAAAGGAUUCACAAAGACAUUUUACAAGAACACAUGGAUAUAUAGAGAGACAAAUCAGGAAAAAUAUGCGUGAUCUUCAACAGCUACUUUGUAAAUGUAACCAAGAACAUGGAAAAUGUGAAAGUUAGGAUUAUUACAGUGCGAUCACUUAAAAGGUAGGUCAGUAGUGUUUUUUCUUUUUGCGAUUUAUGAAUGGAAUGUGAAAAACUAUAUCUCGAGUGAACGCGAUUGAUAGUUCAGAUUAUUUUUACCGAUAACCGCUACGAAUUUCAGCUGACGGCGACUAUAGGAGAUACCAAC
RNAcentral lists this long non-coding RNA (740 nucleotides) under Mytilus galloprovincialis (Mediterranean mussel). Lineage: Eukaryota; Metazoa; Mollusca; Bivalvia; Mytilida; Mytilidae. The record is from RNAcentral.